ACCUGCCUGGCUCAGUCAGUAGAGCAUGUGACUCUUGAUCUCCAGGUUGUGAGUUCGAGCCCCACGUUGGGUA
This 73-nucleotide transfer RNA is filed under the name Ailuropoda melanoleuca (giant panda). It matches the Rfam family "tRNA". Rfam says of the family: Transfer RNA (tRNA) molecules are approximately 80 nucleotides in length. The record is from Rfam by way of RNAcentral. Lineage: Eukaryota; Metazoa; Chordata; Mammalia; Carnivora; Ursidae.